UUCUAGCAGGGGAGCACAGCUACUCAUAUACCCUUGACCGAAAACUGGUCCUCCUCUAUGGGGGAUGGUCGUCCUCUUUGACCGAGGGUGCAGCUUUGGGAGGGACGCACAUGGAGCGGUGAGGGAGGAAGGGGACACCUGCCUAGCCAGCCAGAUCAGCCGAAUCAACCCUGGCGAUCAAUGGGGUGACAGAUAUGGGAAGAGCACAAUU
Perognathus longimembris pacificus (Pacific pocket mouse) is the source of this 211-nucleotide long non-coding RNA. RefSeq lists it as uncharacterized. The transcript is spliced from 3 exons. Lineage: Eukaryota; Metazoa; Chordata; Mammalia; Rodentia; Heteromyidae. The record is from RefSeq and is a predicted model, not a curated record.